UACGUAGGGUGCGAGCGUUAAUCGGAAUUACUGGGCGUAAAGCGUGCGCAGGCGGCUCGGCGUGUCUGAUGUGAAAGCCCCGGGCUCAACCUGGGAAUGGCAUUGGAAACUGGCGGACUAGGGUGUGGCAGAGGGGGGUGGAAUUCCACGUGUAGCAGUGAAAUGCGUAGAGAUGUGGAGGAACACCGAUGGCGAAGGCAGCCCCCUGGGCUAACACUGACGCUCAGGCACGAAAGCGUGGGGAGCAAACAGG
Molecule: ribosomal RNA, 253 nt
Filed under: uncultured bacterium
Lineage: Bacteria
Description: partial 16S ribosomal RNA
Rfam family: Bacterial small subunit ribosomal RNA
Source: RNAcentral